RNAcentral lists this long non-coding RNA (981 nucleotides) under Homo sapiens (human). RNAcentral's name for it is "HSALNT0282149". The record is from RNAcentral. Lineage: Eukaryota; Metazoa; Chordata; Mammalia; Primates; Hominidae.
AGGAGGGAGAGAGGGAGAGGGACACAGGGAGAGUCUGGGGAAGGAGGGAGAGAGAGAGAGGAGGGUUCCUAAUAGUAGGUGAGAAACUUAAAAAGACACUAAAUUUCUCUGCUUCCCUACGUGGCCUUAAAGGCAGGUAAUUCCAUGUUUGCUUUCACUUUCAAACAACUUUACCUAUGCAUAUAGGUGAAGCCUAAAAUUAAAAUGAAUUGAUAAAAAAAAUUGAGAGGGCCCAAUUACACAAUCGAUGGAAAAGCAACACGUUUAUACCUCCCAGUCAGGAAGAGCAUUCUGAGAAAGGAGACUUGCCAGCUUCCAAAGGCACUCAGCCUUGACAGCUUGGCUACUUCACGGGCUGACUGCAGCUCAAACACCUGUUGGUAUCUUGGAGCCACAGCACAUCCAUCCUUCCCUCACGCCAACAUCAACCUGAUGCUCAUCACUGCUCUCUGCUGAAAAGCUCCAAUAAACCCAAGACUCUAAGUUCCAUCCAGUACUGAAGUUUCAUUUUAGGAAAGGUAUUUCAAACUUUGCUAAUAUGAGUUUUUUUUAAAGAAAAAACAAACUCAUUCGGGGGCUUACAUGUCAAAAUGAAAAUAGAGUCAUGCUGUUUAUUAACCAGUUUCCAAAGUGCUAAACCUAGAUGAGAUUGGAAAACUUUCAAUCUCUGACUUUACAGAAUAAACGCUUAUAAUACUUCAGAAUGAAUUGGAAAUAGUGAUUCUGCAUAAGAGAGACGAUACUUGUAAUAUGUGGCACUAGCCAAAACCAAAAGACACAAAAACAGGAGACACCCUCAAUUUGGAUUGAGGUGUCCUGCAAAGGCUUGAGGCAAUUCUUAUACCAAACGUCCAUAUAAAUCCCUCUGAAUUCAUUUUUCAUUUAUAUACACCAACAAAAACGCUGAAGAGUAGAAUACAAUAACCAAAUUGGAUUUUAAAAGUUAUUUCCUUUUAAAAUAAGCAAUCUGCUCUAAUUGUG